This 688-nucleotide long non-coding RNA is filed under the name Equus caballus (horse). RNAcentral's name for it is "lncRNA (ENSECAG00000055321.1)". The record is from RNAcentral. Lineage: Eukaryota; Metazoa; Chordata; Mammalia; Perissodactyla; Equidae.
CUUCAAGGUGCUGGGAUGGUGGUGUGCCCAGGGAGGGUAUGGACGCUGCACGGCACCCCCCACACCUUGCCCUCUGCAGCUCUUCCAUUUGGCUGUGCCUGAGUUGUAUCCUUUACAAUAAACUGCAUGUGUUGACCACCUACUAUGUGCCAGGCACUGUGUUGGGCGCUGAGGAUUCCACUGGACAGAGCUGGUUCCUGCCUUCAAGGAACACCAUGUCCUCGCAGAUGCUAACAACACAUCACACACUCAGCCUCCACAGCAGCCAAGCAGCCAAGCAGCCCUUCGACAUGGAGGCAGCAGACCUGGAGGAAGUCGGACACGUUAGCAACCUGCCUGCUCUGAUGGAUCCGGACAACGAUGCUAAUAGUUGUGCUGAAUAGUAAGGAGAAAAGACAAUUAAAGAAGCAGCGUGGUGUCAGGGAUGAAACAAUGGACGAACUCCAAUCAUGUCUACACGCUCUCCUGCCCGCUUCAGCUCCCUUCCACCUCUUUUUUUCUGGAGAAAUCAGACUCGUGAUUCAAGGUGCAGCUCACAUGAUCCUGACUUGGUACAGGUUUCCUCGCCUCCAUGGGCAGAGGUGGUUAGUCUCUUCUUUGCCACCCACCCUCUCCCCACCUUCUUGCCUCCACCUCCACCCAGAUUUGUCUCUCCCUUUCUUCCAACACUUGUGACACUUCACCAAGG